RNAcentral lists this ribosomal RNA (426 nucleotides) under uncultured Pseudomonadota bacterium. RNAcentral's name for it is "bacterial SSU rRNA". It matches the Rfam family "Bacterial small subunit ribosomal RNA", at positions 356 to 774 of the family's 1533-position model. The record is from RNAcentral. Lineage: Bacteria; Pseudomonadati; Pseudomonadota.
GGGGAAUAUUGCGCAAUGGGCGAAAGCCUGACGCAGCGACGCCGCGUGAGGGAUGAAGGUUCUCGGAUCGUAAACCUCUGUCAGAAGGGAAGAAACCGCACCGUGCUAAUCAGCGGUGCAUUGACGGUACCUUCAAAGGAAGCACCGGCUAACUCCGUGCCAGCAGCCGCGGUAAUACGGAGGGUGCAAGCGUUAAUCGGAAUUACUGGGCGUAAAGCGCACGUAGGCGGCUUUGUAAGUCAGGGGUGAAAUCCCACGGCUCAACCGUGGAACUGCCUUUGAUACUGGAAGUCUUGAGUCUGGCAGAGGUGAGUGGAACUGCGAGUGUAGAGGUGAAAUUCGUAGAUAUUCGCAAGAACACCAGUGGCGAAGGCGGCUCACUGGGCCAUUACUGACGCUGAGGCACGAAAGCGUGGGGAGCAAACA